This 127-nucleotide small RNA is filed under the name Marmota monax (woodchuck). Lineage: Eukaryota; Metazoa; Chordata; Mammalia; Rodentia; Sciuridae. The record is from RNAcentral.
CCUAGGCACGGUGGCGCAUGCCUGUAAUCCCAGCAGCUCGGGAGGCUGAGGCAGGAGGAGCAUAAGUUCAAAGUCAGCCUCAGCAAUUUAGGGAGACCCUAAACAACUUAGUGAGUUCCUGUCUCAA